This 489-nucleotide ribosomal RNA is filed under the name uncultured bacterium. RNAcentral's name for it is "partial 16S ribosomal RNA". It matches the Rfam family "Bacterial small subunit ribosomal RNA", at positions 28 to 507 of the family's 1533-position model. The record is from RNAcentral.
GAUGAACGCUAGCUACAGGCUUAACACAUGCAAGUCGAGGGGCAGCAUGAACUUAGCUUGCUCAGUUUGAUGGCGACCGGCGCACGGGUGAGUAACACGUAUCCAACCUGCCGAUGACUCGGGGAUAGCCUUUCGAAAGAAAGAUUAAUACCCGAUGGCAUAGUUCUUCCGCAUGGUAGAACUAUUAAAGAAUUUCGGUCAUCGAUGGGGAUGCGUUCCAUUAGGUUGUUGGCGGGGUAACGGCCCACCAAGCCUUCGAUGGAUAGGGGUUCUGAGAGGAAGGUCCCCCACAUUGGAACUGAGACACGGUCCAAACUCCUACGGGAGGCAGCAGUGAGGAAUAUUGAUCAAUGGACGAGAGUCUGAACCAGCCAAGUAGCGUGAAGGAUGACUGCCCUAUGGGUUGUAAACUUCUUUUAUACGGGAAUAAAGUGAGGCACGUGUGCCUUUUUGUAUGUACCGUAUGAAUAAGGAUCGGCUAACUCCGUG